UACGGAGAGGGCAAGCGUUACUCGGAAUUAUUGGGCGUAAAGGGCGCGUAGGCGGUCGUGCGCGUCGGAGGUGAAAUCCCCGGGCUUAACCCGGGAGCUGCCUCCGAUACGGCAUGGCUUGAGUCCGGGAGAGGGGAGCAGAAUUCCCAGUGUAGCGGUGAAAUGCGUAGAUAUUGGGAGGAAUACCGGUGGCGAAGGCGGCUCCCUGGACCGGUACUGACGCUGAGGCGCGAAAGCGUGGGUAGCAAACAGG
RNAcentral lists this ribosomal RNA (253 nucleotides) under uncultured bacterium. Its description in RNAcentral is "partial 16S ribosomal RNA". It matches the Rfam family "Bacterial small subunit ribosomal RNA", at positions 524 to 776 of the family's 1533-position model. The record is from RNAcentral.